UGGCCUCUAGAAAGCUCCAGCACGAGACAGUUCGACUCAGAUUUUCACAGCGAGCAGAGCACACAUGUGAAGAUGCCAACAUCUUAUCAAAUCGCAUUGACCUUUGCUUUGGUACUUGGCCACGUCCAACUUCAAGGCGUGGCUCCUGCCCGGGUCCCCCAUCACAGUCAAGUGCAUCGACGAGCGAACACCACUCGCCUAACGCCAGCACACACGCACCAUGUGGCGUCGAAUCACACACUGUUUGGCCAAGCCAGAAGAUUGAAUAAUACAUCGAGUGUAUCGUCUCCAAGAAACGUUACCGUGCCUGUUGCUCACAACCAAACGUGGCCAUUACAAAAUGACCAGCCUGGUUUUAGACAGCCCUCCCAGUCUCCUGUUCACAACCAAACAUGGCUGUACACCAAUCAGACCUACUUCAGCUCGGCACCUGGAACUAUACCUUUAUAUCCUCCAGAGGGGCUUCCAAGCCAAGUGCCGACGUCAUCUCUAUGGGAUGGAUCAGCAUCCGGUAUCUUUCUAGCGGACAAUAAUACACUUGUUGGCAACUCAUCGUCAACACAGGGUCCGAGUCCAGCGCUUGUGGCGAGCAACCACAAUGGCUCUUUGGCCUUGGCAUUAUCCAGCAAUUCGACGAGACUGCCACUUGCGCCAGGCAGCAAGCCGUAUUCCUCUAGUCCAUAUGCAAAUCUGGUUUACUAAACGAAGAGGAUGAUAGACGAUGAUAGGCUCCCCCAAAUGAAUAAACCACUUGGACUUAAAUUUUUUCAAAAAACAUUUUAUUUCGCUGCCAUUGCGUUGCGGCGAUCAGUUAAUUGGACCAUCGGUAAAAAUAUGUUGGUUGCUUUCCGGUAUUCCAGAAGUGUUAAAUAAAAAUGUAUGUGUGUAGAAAUGAUGAAUUUUCCAUAAAUGGGCUUGGCUUAGACAGGGGUGCGGAUAUUUUUGGGACGGUGAUCACGGCAUCAUCAAGUAUAUCAGCUUUGAACCAUCGAAUAAAUUAUAUUGUGAUUGCCUAAGUUAACGCUGCGCCAAGAUUUUUGGAAUACCACCGAUGAUUUUCUAAGCCGAAGUGGAGCGGAUCCCUCGCCGCCGUCCAGCGCUCCCACGCCGCAGACAGGAUCUCCCCCGCCGCAGUCAAGUGCUCCCUCGCCGCCGUCAGCAGCCACAUCCCUCGCCGCCGUCAGCAACCACAUCCCACGCCGCCGUCAAUUCAAUCCUUCCUCAGUUCCCACGCCGCAGUCAUGAGCAUAGCGCUUGGCGCAUAGAGCCCUUGCCAAAAUCCCACGCAGCAAAAUGGUUAUCCCACGCCGCAGUCUUGAAGUUCGGAUCCAUCCAUCGCCGCCGUCAUGUGUAAGUCGGGAUCCCUCGCCGCCGUCGAUUUGGAAUCUCACCACGCCGUCGUUGUGCAUAUUGAAUCCCACGCUGCAGUCAAAUCCGAAUUAAAUGAAACUUGCAAUCCACGAACAAAAUCUAAUUCUCCUCACGAAGGGUCCUCACAGAGCAAAGUUAAGCGUCAACAUCACAUUAGUUAAGCGACCAGUAGCGAAGCGAUAAGUGAAUGCCACAUGCCACCGCCAACGGUGGUAAUGGUAAUGGCAAUGGCGAUGGCGAUCUUGUUGGCGAUCACCGUGUCCAACUGCAGCAGUGUUGCGAAGAAGGGGCAAAUGUUGGAGAACGGUCUGAAGUUGUCAUCAGUAUCAUGUCAUUAAAGCAGAGUCAACAAGCUAUCCCAAGCCAGUGGUACGAGGAACGAAUUGGUACGGAAUUGUUAUUGGUGCAGGUCGAUGGAAGUGUUCAGGAUAAUGAUAUGUGGCCUGCAUCUCAGAUCUUGGACCAGUCAAUAUGCUGCUCCAGAAAGCGAUCGCAGAAGCCACUGGCGAUGUCGAAUUGAACAGAAGAAGGCUCGGCUCCCAGAGAUAUCUCUUAGCCGGUUCUCGUAGCGAAAAUGAUCAAUAGCGUGCACUCCCAGUCGUUUAGUGCGCCUCUUAAGUCCACACAGGAUGCGAUUAGAUGAUUCAAAGAGGCCAAUGAAGGAAUGCCUCGAAGGUAGUACAAGGUCGAAGGUAUCAAAAGAUUGAAAAUGUAUGUCCUCUGUAUGCUGCUGCUCCCACUCCUCACUCCUCACUGCCAUGGAUCUUGCUAUAAAAGUCGUGGUCCUCCCAUUCAAAUGUUCCCUGCGGCAACAACUGGUACGUCUAGGUGCGACAUGGACCGCUCCAAAAGCCUUUGGAAGGAUAUCCGGUUGCACUCUUCAGGGGAAGUCUGCUACAGCCAUGGCUUUUAAAUUUACAUGUCACAGUAUAACAUAACAUCUUACAUAAGAAAUUUAAAACAAAUUUAAAGGCAACAAAACAUUAACAUUAUCUACGCAAGGUAUUUAAAGAGAACAUAAUUUGAUAGCUCUAACAACUGCAUUACAAAUGCAGUCUGGAUCCUGGACGUGGGCCUAGAAUAGUCUCGCUCUUUAUGAGUCUUUAGGAGCUGCGCUAACAUCGCCUACAUACGCCUACGAGUAGCUGUAAUGAGAGUUUGGAAGGAAACUAAAACAAAAGAAGAGUGUGUUUAAGUUGCCUGUACCGCGGGCGCGUGUCUCUUGGAUUCCCUUUGAGACCAACGUGACGAGUGUGCAGGAAGGCGCGCGGCAAUACAAGUGGAGUGGGCCAGAGCACAGCCGUGGAUCUGGACCUAGCAGGGCAUUAUUUCUGACUCCUAUGUGGAUGUGGGAAUGUAUAGUCGUUCGUUCCUGGAAAGCGUACAUGCACCAACAACAAAACUGCUAUUAUACCUUUAGGGCCUUGGGACCCUGCCUGCCGCUGUCGCUGUACAUCGCAUUGGAUUCCCUUUACGAUCGCUGUGCUGAAGAAGUAAAGAAUUUGAUCAGGAGCUCAACGGGGAGCUCGACUGUAGUACCAUCUCGCAUUUGAUUCCCUUUUGCGGUAUGUUGGAUCGUAGGGCCAGGAGUUAAGGGCUCAACUGGCGGAGCGUAGCGUAGUCAUUGGCUAGCUAGCUCGGUCUUCGAACACUAAUCGCAUUUGAUUCCCUUUUGCGAUGAAUAUGGGUACCUCUAAUUCUGGACUACCUACGGGAGGGAAAGUACAAAUGAAGCGACAACCCGUUGAAAAGCGGUUUCAUCUCUCCUGAGAUCUGCAAACCUGCGUCAAGCUCUGACAGGCUGAACUGUGGCUGCUGCAUUUCUUCCGUUUCGGAUGCUUGAACACUAAUCGCAAUUGGUUCCCGUUUGCGAUAAACGACUGGCUACGCGUCGUUAGCUGCUGAUCUGUCCGGAUGUUAUUCAAAUACAACGCUGAAAGUGACAAUUAAUUAGCGACGACGACGCUAGGAUGCCCGUAGCGUACUUGCAGGCAGCAGCCCUGUAACAACGACAACACAUCAGCUCACUUCUUCAGCGAAUGCUGGUGAUGGUGCGGUGUAGCGGCUCUCGGUCCAAACGCAUUUGUUUCCCUUUAGCGUGGACCGAACGCACAUCUCUGUGCGGUGCCAAUUGCAUUACGUGCUUAGGCUAGCACAUCGCUCGCAGGACUGUCUCCAGCUCGCUCUCGACGCCCGUGCCCGUGCUCGUGCCAUGGCCCGUGCCCGUGCUUUGGACAGCGGCAGGCGGUAGUCGGCAAUCUUGAACUUGGUCUAGCCUCGUCUGAGCGUUGAUUGAUUCGGUCGGCGACAGGUUGUGUGCUAUGAAGCGCCUUGGUGCACCCUUGGUAGACACAAGCGGCCCUUUUUUUUUGCAGACAACUUGGCUGUAAUGUAGAAACGUUAAGUUUACAUCUAAUUUUAAAGUAGGCGCACGAGACAGGACAGCCUUGCUGC
Drosophila miranda is the source of this 3825-nucleotide long non-coding RNA. RefSeq lists it as uncharacterized. Lineage: Eukaryota; Metazoa; Arthropoda; Insecta; Diptera; Drosophilidae. The record is from RefSeq and is a predicted model, not a curated record. The transcript has 2 exons.